ACAAAUGAUUAUGAAGAAGAAAUUUUUAGAUUACAAAAAAUAAUCAAGGAUAGGGAAAAUGAAAACGUGGAAUUAAGAGUUAAUUUUCGAGAAUUACUGCAAGAAAAAAUUAAAUUAGAAGAAGAUAUUGAAAAUUAUGAGAAGGCUAUUUACGAAAUUAACGAAAAUACAACUGCGUUGAAAGAAGCACAUAAGGCAGAAAUAAAAGAAAUUCAAGAAGAAAACUGGAAUCUUUAUUUACAGAUAGAUUUGCUUAAGGAAAACUUAAAUAUUUUGGAAGAAAAAUGUAAUCAGUUACAGAAUUUUAAUGAAGAUAAAACUAAAAACAUUGAUAUUUUAAAUAAAGAAGUACAGGACUUGAUGAUAAUAUAAUAUUGUGUUUAUUUUUUACCGUUUUCGAUACGAUAAUUGAUUUUUUACUACACACAUUAAUUAGGAUAAGAAAACGACAUAUGCAAUAGAAAUUGACAAAAUUUUAAUAGAAAAAAAUAAUAUUAGAAUUGAAAGGGAAGAAUUUGAUAAAUCUAAAACAGAAUUUAAAAUAAUAGAAGAAAAGUUAUACGAAGAAAAAAAAGAAUUUGAAAAGAACAAAGAUGAGUUUUUAAAAGAAGUAAAACAACUACAAAAAUGUAUAGAUAUAUUGGAAAAAGAAAAAAAAGAAAUAUUGGAAAAUAAAAAAAAGUUAGAAACAGACA
This 695-nucleotide long non-coding RNA is filed under the name Piliocolobus tephrosceles (Ugandan red Colobus). RNAcentral's name for it is "lncRNA (ENSPTEG00000002086.1)". The record is from RNAcentral. Lineage: Eukaryota; Metazoa; Chordata; Mammalia; Primates; Cercopithecidae.